Molecule: unclassified non-coding RNA, 261 nt
Filed under: uncultured fungus
Lineage: Eukaryota; Fungi
Description: partial contains small subunit ribosomal RNA, internal transcribed spacer 1, and 5.8S ribosomal RNA
Rfam family: Eukaryotic small subunit ribosomal RNA (bases 1-73)
Source: RNAcentral
GCAAACUUGGUCAUUUAGAGGAAGUAAAAGUCGUAACAAGGUUUCCGUAGGUGAACCUGCGGAAGGAUCAUUAUCGGGAAUGCCCCUCGGGGCUUAACCUGCAACCCUAUGCCGUUACCGACCUUUUUAUCUUUUGGCGGGCUCGCCCGCCGGAAGAAAUCUCAUAAACUCAGUGAAUUUGUCAUGUUCUGAAUUAAAAAAAAAUCAAUUAAAACUUUCAACAACGGAUCUCUUGGUUCUGGCAUCGAUGAAGAACGCAGC